GCGGCUGUAGCUUAAUGGUAAAGCCCCUGCCUUCCAAGCAGGUGACGUGGGUUCGAUUCCCAUCAGCCGCUCCA
This 74-nucleotide transfer RNA is filed under the name Pseudomonadota bacterium. Its description in RNAcentral is "tRNA-Gly". It matches the Rfam family "tRNA". From Rfam's summary of the family: Transfer RNA (tRNA) molecules are approximately 80 nucleotides in length. Lineage: Bacteria; Pseudomonadati; Pseudomonadota. RNAcentral also lists the same sequence under 5 other names. The record is from RNAcentral.